RNAcentral lists this non-coding RNA (31 nucleotides) under Mus musculus (house mouse). Lineage: Eukaryota; Metazoa; Chordata; Mammalia; Rodentia; Muridae. The record is from RNAcentral.
UAGAAGACAGCAUGGUUCUAGGUACCCACGU